AUUGAACGCUGGCGGCAGGCCUAACACAUGCAAGUCGAACGAGUGGCGUGCGGGUGACUAAUGUCUGGGAAUCUGACUGAUGGAGGGGGAUCACUACUGGACACUGUUGCUACUACCGCCUUGCUUCGGAUGUGCCCGGAUGGGAUUAGCUAGGGGGUGGGGUAACGGCUCACCAAGGCGACGAUCCCUACCUGGUCUGAGAGGAUGACCAGCCACACUGGAACUGAGACACGGUCCAGACUCCUACGGGAGGCAGCAGUGGGGAAUAUUGCACAAUGGGCGCAAGCCUGAUGCAGCCAUGCCGCGUGUGUGAAGAAGGCCUUCGGUUUGUAAAGUACUUUCAGCGGGGAGGCGUUACCCGCAGAAGAAGCACCGGCUAACUCCGUGCCAGCAGCCGCGGUAAUUC
This 406-nucleotide ribosomal RNA is filed under the name uncultured bacterium. RNAcentral describes it as "partial 16S ribosomal RNA". It matches the Rfam family "Bacterial small subunit ribosomal RNA", at positions 30 to 526 of the family's 1533-position model. The record is from RNAcentral.